This 253-nucleotide ribosomal RNA is filed under the name uncultured bacterium. RNAcentral describes it as "partial 16S ribosomal RNA". It matches the Rfam family "Bacterial small subunit ribosomal RNA", at positions 524 to 776 of the family's 1533-position model. The record is from RNAcentral.
UACAGAGGUCCCAAGCGUUGUUCGGAUUCACUGGGCGUAAAGGGUGCGUAGGUGGUGAGAUUAAGUUGAUGAUGAAUCGUCCGGCUACCACCGGAAAUGGCAUUGAAUACUAUCUUGCUAGAGGAGUGGAGGGGGGACUGGAAUACUUGGUGUAGCAGUGAAAUGCGUAGAUAUCAAGUGGAACACCAGUGGCGAAGGCGAGUCCCUGGACACUUCCUGACACUGAGGCACGAAAGCUAGGGGAGCAAACAGG